This 403-nucleotide ribosomal RNA is filed under the name bacterium. Its description in RNAcentral is "partial 16S ribosomal RNA". It matches the Rfam family "Bacterial small subunit ribosomal RNA", at positions 355 to 776 of the family's 1533-position model. The record is from RNAcentral.
UGGGGAAUAUUGCACAAUGGAGGGAACUCUGAUGCAGCGACGCCGCGUGAACGAAGAAGGCUUUCGAGUCGUAAAGUUCUUUUAUAUGGGAAGAUAAUGACGGUACCAUAAGAAAAAGCCCCGGCUAACUACGUGCCAGCAGCCGCGGUAAUACGUAGGGGGCUAGCGUUGUCCGGAAUCACUGGGCGUAAAGGGUUCGCAGGCGGAAAUGCAAGUCAGGUGUAAAAGGCAGUAGCUUAACUACUGUAAGCAUUUGAAACUGCAUAUCUGGAGCAGCGUAGAGGUAAGUGGAAUUUUUAGUGUAGCGGUGAAAUGCGUAGAUAUUAAAAAGAAUACCGGUGGCGAAGGCGGCUUACUGGGCUCAUUCUGACGCUGAGGAACGAAAGCGUGGGUAGCAAACAGG